GGGCCUGUAGCUCAGUUGGUUAGAGCGGACCGCUCAUAACGGUUUGGUCGCAGGUUCGAGUCCUGCCGGGCCCACCA
RNAcentral lists this transfer RNA (77 nucleotides) under Parvibaculum lavamentivorans DS-1. RNAcentral describes it as "tRNA-Ile2 (CAT) (tRNA-Ile2-CAT-1-1)". It matches the Rfam family "tRNA". Rfam says of the family: Transfer RNA (tRNA) molecules are approximately 80 nucleotides in length. RNAcentral also lists the same sequence under 13 other names. Lineage: Bacteria; Pseudomonadati; Pseudomonadota; Alphaproteobacteria; Hyphomicrobiales; Parvibaculaceae. The record is from RNAcentral.